GGCCAGAUGCCCGAGCGGUUAAGGGGAUAGACUCGAAUCAACCGCGACUCGCUAUCUAUUAGGCUUUGCCUGCGCAGGUUCAAGUCCUGCUCUGGUCG
Molecule: transfer RNA, 98 nt
Filed under: Rhodotorula toruloides
Lineage: Eukaryota; Fungi; Basidiomycota; Microbotryomycetes; Sporidiobolales; Sporidiobolaceae
Description: tRNA-Ser
Rfam family: tRNA
About the family: Transfer RNA (tRNA) molecules are approximately 80 nucleotides in length. Their secondary structure includes four short double-helical elements and three loops (D, anti-codon, and T loops).
Source: RNAcentral